GCAAACUUGGUCAUUUAGAGGAAGUAAAAGUCGUAACAAGGUUUCCGUAGGUGAACCUGCGGAAGGAUCAUUAGAAGAAAGAAAGAUCGAUCCCUCGACGAACGUAGGGGGGCGAUCGAAUCCAUAUCCACCCCGUGUGCACUCAUCGACCGUUUGCUUUGGCAGGGGGAAGGGGCCUUCGAUCCGGAGGCGCCGGGAGGAUACACACGUAGCCUCGGCCUGCCAGAGUUUUUUUUUCCCGAACUCGCACUUUUCUCUUUUUUUACUUGCUUGGACUGAACCUUCGUCUCGAUUCUCUUGCAAUCGGUCGAAUCGGAUACAACUUUCAACAACGGAUCUCUUGGCUCUCGCAUCGAUGAAGAACGCAGC
This 369-nucleotide unclassified non-coding RNA is filed under the name uncultured fungus. Its description in RNAcentral is "partial contains small subunit ribosomal RNA, internal transcribed spacer 1, and 5.8S ribosomal RNA". The stretch from base 1 to 73 matches the Rfam family "Eukaryotic small subunit ribosomal RNA", at positions 1759 to 1831 of the family's 1831-position model. Lineage: Eukaryota; Fungi. The record is from RNAcentral.